UGGCGUCGGACGUAAGAUGACUGGUAGGUGAAAGCUUACAUCUCUUCCGGAGCUAGUUUUACGAGGUGCUGCAUGGUUGUCGUCAGCUCGUGCCGUGAGGUGUCGGGUUAAGUCCCAUAACGAGCGCAACCCCUACCUUUAGUUGCCAUCAGGUUAAGCUGGGGACUCUAAAGGAACUGCCUACGCAAGUAGUGAGGAAGGCGGGGAUGACGUCAAAUCAGCACGGCCCUUACGUCCAGGGCUACACACGUGCUACAAUGGCCGAUACAGAGGGCAGCUACCUGGUGACAGGAUGCAAAUCUCCAAAGUCGGUCUCAGUUCGGAUCGGAGUCUGCAACCCGACUCCGUGAAGUUGGAUUCGCUAGUAAUCGCGCAUCAGCCAUGGCGCGGUGAAUACGUUCCCGGGCCUU
RNAcentral lists this ribosomal RNA (410 nucleotides) under uncultured Sphingobacteriales bacterium. RNAcentral's name for it is "bacterial SSU rRNA". It matches the Rfam family "Bacterial small subunit ribosomal RNA", at positions 976 to 1382 of the family's 1533-position model. The record is from RNAcentral. Lineage: Bacteria; Pseudomonadati; Bacteroidota; Sphingobacteriia; Sphingobacteriales.